Molecule: non-coding RNA, 67 nt
Organism: Ricinus communis (castor bean)
Lineage: Eukaryota; Viridiplantae; Streptophyta; Magnoliopsida; Malpighiales; Euphorbiaceae
Source: Rfam
GCGUUUGUAGUCCAACGGUUAGGAUAAUUGCCUUCCAAGCAAUAGACCCGGGUUCCCGGCAAACGCA